Helianthus annuus (common sunflower) is the source of this 487-nucleotide long non-coding RNA. RefSeq lists it as uncharacterized. The record is from RefSeq and is a predicted model, not a curated record. NCBI's taxonomy places the organism in Eukaryota, Viridiplantae, Streptophyta, Magnoliopsida, Asterales, Asteraceae. The transcript has 3 exons.
UAAACACACAUCUAAGUGUGUGCUUGGAUCGAUCAGAACCCAGGAGCGACCAGGAGCUCCUCUCCAAAACCCUAGUUCACUAAAAAUUGAUCAAUUGGAGGUUCAAUUCAGUCCCAAAUCGAAAUCUGAUCAUAGAUUCGUGAUCACCUCGUCAAAGGGAUCAUAAGGCAAGGAGUCCGGACCGUCAAGCGGACACGCCGAAGGGAAUACGCAUAGGAAAGGUGUGCUCUAAAGGUAAAGAUGCUCUUUAGACCCAGAGGAUGAUCAAGCCAUGUCAAGAACCGAACACACCGAACAAAGCUUCCGCAUUUUGUCUAUUUUGUUUUAGUGACAUGUAAACACUUGAAAUUAUGUUUUGAAAGUUUAUCUAGCAUGAUGUAGACUUGAAUGUUAUGAUCAAGUAUGAUCUUAAAACCAUGAAGUUUUUGUAAACUCGAAAAAUUUUGUACUAAAUGCAUGAUAAAUGUCAGAAAUCCUGUUAUUUUAA